GAUUAAUACUCCAUAAUACUGCGAGAAGGCAUCUUUUUUCAGUUAAAGCUUCGGCGGUCAGAGAUGGGCAUGCGUAACAUUAGCUGGUUGGUGAGGUAACAGCUCACCAAGGCUACGAUGUUUAGGGGGUCUGAGAGGAUGGUCCCCCACACUGGUACUGAGACACGGACCAGACUCCUACGGGAGGCAGCAGUGAGGAAUAUUGGUCAAUGGGCGAAAGCCUGAACCAGCCAUGCCGCGUGAAGGAUGACGGCCCUAUGGGUUGUAAACUUCUUUUAUACGGGAAGAAACCCCUCUACGUGUAGGGGGCUGACGGUACCGUACGAAUAAGCAUCGGCUAACUCCGUGCCAGCAGCCGCGGUAAUACGGAGGAUGCAAGCGUUAUCCGGAUUUAUUGGGUUUAAAGGGUGCGUAGGCGGAAAAUUAAGUCAGUGGUGAAAUCCUGCAGCUUAACUGUAGAAUUGUCAUUGAUACUGGUUUUCUUGAAUACAGUUGAGGUAGGCGGAAUGAGUAAUGUAGCGGUGAAAUGCUUAGAUAUUACUCAGAACACCAAUUGCGAAGGCAGCUUACUAAACUGUGAUUGACGCUGAGGCACGAAAGCGUGGGGAGCGAACAGGAUUAGAUACCCUGGUAGUCCACGCCGUAAACGAUGAUCACUCGUUGUUGGCAAUACACCGUCAGCGACUGAGCGAAAGUAUUAAGUGAUCCACCUGGGGAGUACGAUUGCAAGAUUGAAACUCAAAGGAAUUGACGGGGGCCCGCACAAGCGGAGGAACAUGUGGUUUAAUUCGAUGAUACGCGAGGAACCUUACCUGGGCUUAAAUGCAUAACGACGGAUCGGGAAACUGGUCUUUCUUCGGACGGAAUGCAAGGUGCUGCAUGGCUGUCGUCAGCUCGUGCCGUGAGGUGUCGGGUUAAGUCCCAUAACGAGCGCAACCCUCAUCAUUAGUUGCCAGCGGGUAAUGCCGGGGACUCUAAUGAAACUGCCGGUGUAAACCGAGAGGAAGGCGAGGAUGACGUCAAGUCAGCACGGCCCUUAUGUCCAGGGCUACACACGUGUUACAAUGGUCAGUACAAAGGGCAGCUACCAGGCAACUGGAUGCUAAUCUCAAAAGCUGGUCACAGUUCGGAUCGGAGUCUGCAACCCGACUUCGUGAAGUUGGAUUCGCUAGUAAUCGCGCAUCAGCCAUGGCGCGGUGA
This 1200-nucleotide ribosomal RNA is filed under the name uncultured organism. Its description in RNAcentral is "bacterial SSU rRNA". It matches the Rfam family "Bacterial small subunit ribosomal RNA", at positions 161 to 1365 of the family's 1533-position model. The record is from RNAcentral.